RNAcentral lists this ribosomal RNA (497 nucleotides) under uncultured bacterium. Its description in RNAcentral is "partial 16S ribosomal RNA". It matches the Rfam family "Bacterial small subunit ribosomal RNA", at positions 28 to 507 of the family's 1533-position model. The record is from RNAcentral.
GACGAACGCUGGCGGCGUGCCUAAUACAUGCAAGUUGAGCGCUGAAGGUUGGUCCUUGUACCAACUGGAUGAGCAGCGAACGGGUGAGUAACGCGUGGGGAAUCUGCCUUUGAGCGGGGGACAACAUUUGGAAACGAAUGCUAAUACCGCAUAAAAACUUUAAACACAAGUUUUAAGCUUGAAAGAUGCAAUUGCAUCACUCAAAGAUGAUCCCGCGUUGUAUUAGCUAGUUGGUGAGGUAAAGGCUCACCAAGGCGAUGAUACAUAGCCGACCUGAGAGGGUGAUCGGCCACAUUGGGACUGAGACACGGCCCAAACUCCUACGGGAGGCAGCAGUAGGGAAUCUUCGGCAAUGGACGAAAGUAUGACCGAGCAACGCAGCGUGAGUGAAGAAGGUUUUCGGAUCGUAAAACUAUGUUGGUAGAGAAGAACGUUGGUGAGAGUGGAAAGCUCAUCAAGUGACGGUAACUACCCAGAAAGGGACGGCUAACUACGUG